This 67-nucleotide transfer RNA is filed under the name Cladiucha magnoliae. RNAcentral's name for it is "tRNA-Pro". The record is from RNAcentral. Lineage: Eukaryota; Metazoa; Arthropoda; Insecta; Hymenoptera; Tenthredinidae.
CAGAAAAUAUUUUAAUUUAAAAUAUUAAUUUUGGAAAUUAAUGAUAGAAAAAUUUUUCUUUUUCUGA